CUCAGCUGAUGGCAAGGUUGGUUCUCUCAAUCAUGUUGGCUCGGAUAUUCGUAACUUGUGAUUGGUGGAAACUUUGUAAAAACUAAUGAUGAUGUGUUAGGCUGAAUUUUGCCUGUACAUGGAUUCAUCAAGAUCGUGGGUGGAUAUAGUGAAUUACAUUUGCGAUUCAUCCAUAACGUGGUACUGAAAAGGCUACUUGAAAGUGGUUGAUGAAGCAUGGCAACAGGCCAAUGCACAAAAAAAAUUAGGUCUAAGAUCGUAAAUGACUCGUUUUUGAUAAUGCUUAUUACAAAGUUCAAAAGGUCUGUCUUCAUGAUUUUACAUUGCUUUUAAAGUUUAGUUCAGGCACUACACAUUGCUAAAAUCUAUUCUUGCUAGCAAACAAUUGUGAAAUGCUACAUGUACGUACCCUUACAAUACAAUGGCUGAUUUCAAAGUUGCAUGUACGCAUUUGUGUCAAUAUAAUUGUCUAGGUUGAAUUUUUAGCUAAGACUCUGCUAAGAUGGUUUGAUAAAUGAGCAUAAGUAGUUUGCUUAAGGCCCACCUCAUCCUUUUUUGACUUAAGCAAUUUCCUAAGCAAAGAUUGAUAAUUCUUAACCUUGAACACUAACAUUUAAAACAUGAAUUGCAUACUUUGUGUUUUUAAGUCAAGUUAUUAACUUUUACUUGGAAAUCAGAACAAAAAAAAUCCCUCAUAUUAAUAAAUGUUUUUUUAAUUUUUUUAAAGCGAAUAAAUAUCUUCAGAACAUAACAAAUAAGCAAAAUAUUAGUAUUAAUACAGUAGAACCCCUCAUUUUGGAACACCCAUAUUAAGGAGACACCUUUUCAGCCAUAAAACAAGGGAUAGUGUUAUCCAAAAAAAAAUCAAAAUUGAAUUACUUCACCCUUCUUGCACCAUUGCUAGUAGACAGGAUUAUUGGAUGUUUUUAACAAAUUUUGACAAUGUUAAGGAUUUGCUUGUUUGUUUUUAUCAAUGAAUCGGAUCUGAGUGAAGUGAAUAAAAAAAAUAUCAAGGUUAAUAAUGCAUCUGAAUGAAAACAAGGACUUUAACAUAACUGAUGCCAACUUUGGUAUAAACAGAUUCCUUUUCUGAGAAGGUGUAAACCCAUAUUUGUGGUUUGGGUGCUAGCCAAUAUAUUUUCUUCUAUUCACAUGUUUAUUUAUCUGGCUACAAUAUUUCACAACCUUUCAUUUUCUGAACGGAAAUUACACAAAUGUACUGUAAAACAAUCGGAUGAGAAACUAAUGAUUAUGACAAUGAGUAAGAUGAAGAUGAUGAACAUGGCCAUGGUGCUGGCCUAGGUGGUGCAGUAGUGUACUUAGUUUUCAACUGCAGAGAAGAUUGACUAUAUGAAAAGGUUUUGAGAAAACCAGCUGUACCAUGGAUGCAAUGGAGCUGAAGCAUGGUGCUUAAGCAUGGUGCUUAAGAUGCUUCCCUUCACAUUCCAGGGUCUUGGGUUCAAAUCCUGUAGCAUUUAUAUAAACCUCAGGCUACUAUUUGCAAAGGUCUGUCCACACUGUAAAAAUUUUAUGUGACAAAUAACUGUGAUAUGCCCAUAUUUAGGUGUAAUAUGAUAUCAUCAUGCCCAUAUAUGGGCAAAUCACACAAGUCUGUCACAUAAAACUUGAUAGUGUGGACUUUUCUUAAAUUAUGGAUUUUCUCAAGAGCGGAUCCAGCAGGGGGAAUGGGGGGCACAUUCCCCCAUUUUGCUACUAAAUUUUAAAAAUUUCAAUGCAAAUCAAUGUUAUGUGCUACUCACCUAUUCUGGAUCUGCCCCUGUUUCUACACUCAUGAAAUUACAAAUUAGACUUUUUCUUUUUCUUUGGUUACCCCCUGCUACUAUUUCUACUCUAGUACUACCGUAUAUUCUCAAGUACUAUAUAAGACAAAGACAACGAACGAAAUAUAGAGGUUGUCUUAAACGCACAACAUAUAAAUUUUUGAUUUUCAAAUCAUAUUCAUCUUAUGUGCGGAUCUGUAACAUGUAAAUUUACUACUACUGAAAUGAAGCUAGACUUACUAAUUGUUAUAAAUGAACGCAUUUCGCGGAGAAAUAAGAUUUCGAAAAUUUGGAAGCACCAAAAUUUAUAAGAUUGGCCCUACAUUUGACUCUGAUUUUAGACAGCUAGAUGCAGUAUCAAGAUCGUAAAAAGCAGCAAAAUGUACGAAUAAACAAGGAGGUUGUCUUAUACGCCUGACCCCACAGGUUGUAAAAGGCAGACCCAGAGAGGAAAGCCCUGGUGGAGGACCCUUGUGGGUGGUGGCUGCCAGAAAAACUGCAAUUUUGGGCCAUUUUAAGCCGUUCUGAGAAUUUUUACAAUGUAUUGCAUAAAAAAUUUUGAUGCAAAUAUAUAAUUUUUUAGGGGUCCGACAAAUAAUUGCCAAUGGGGCUUGAACUAUCUGAUGUAGCUUUGAAAUCCCUACCCCCUGCUGUGAUCCCUUUGGUCCUCGAACUAUUAAUAGCUAAAUAUGCUCCAUGUUUCUGAAGCAUCUUGCUCCUGAUAUUAAUUUAUAGCUACUGUAAUGUCAAUGAUGCUUACAAAAAUUGAUUUAUAUUUAAGAUGCAUCAGACAAUAUAAAACUCCUCUCUGUUAAAAAAAAAACCCAAUCAAAAAAUUAUCUGAAAUAUACUAUAUAACAGAUGAACAAUGAUAUAAAAGUAUUUACACUGGUAAUUACUACCAGCAGUCUUUCAGAACAGGUUGCUGGUACUGCACUGUACUGCACAAGUACUGGUAGGCCUCCAAGUUCCAUAAUUGCAUUUUAACAACUUCCAACAACCUGGCUUACCAAGGAAUGUGACCUGGAGAUUAGCUGAUUCUACUAAAGUAAAUUUAAAACUUCAACCCAAAAAAUUAUUAUAAAGUUGUUAUACUUUAUUA
This is a long non-coding RNA of Anneissia japonica, 2883 nucleotides long. RefSeq lists it as uncharacterized. NCBI's taxonomy places the organism in Eukaryota, Metazoa, Echinodermata, Crinoidea, Comatulida, Comatulidae. The record is from RefSeq and is a predicted model, not a curated record. The transcript has 2 exons.